This 786-nucleotide ribosomal RNA is filed under the name uncultured Acidobacteriota bacterium. RNAcentral's name for it is "bacterial SSU rRNA". It matches the Rfam family "Bacterial small subunit ribosomal RNA", at positions 71 to 836 of the family's 1533-position model. The record is from RNAcentral. Lineage: Bacteria; Pseudomonadati; Acidobacteriota.
AAAGGGGCUUCGGCCCUGAGUAGAGUGGCGAACGGGUGAGUAACACGUGGGUGAUCUACCUCUGAGUGGGGGAUAACCUUCCGAAAGGAGGGCUAAUACCGCAUGACGUUCUGGGUUUGAAGACCUGGAAACCAAAGUCGGGGACCGCAAGGCCUGACGCUUGGAGAGGAGCCCGCGUCUGAUUAGCUAGUUGGCGGGGUAAUGGCCCACCAAGGCGACGAUCAGUAGCCGGCCUGAGAGGGCGGACGGCCACACUGGGACUGAGACACGGCCCAGACUCCUACGGGAGGCAGCAGUGGGGAAUUGUUCGCAAUGGGCGCAAGCCUGACGACGCAACGCCGCGUGGAGGAUGAAGGUCUUCGGAUUGUAAACUCCUGUUGAUCGGGAAGAACGGGCUCCGGAUGAAUACUCUGGAGCAGUGACGGUACCGAUUGAGGAAGCCACGGCUAACUCUGUGCCAGCAGCCGCGGUAAUACAGAGGUGGCAAGCGUUGUUCGGAAUUACUGGGCGUAAAGGGCGCGUAGGCGGCCUUGUCAGUCAGACGUGAAAUCCCCAGGCUUAACCUGGGAACUGCGUCUGAUACUACAAGGCUGGAGUUCGGGAGAGGAAUGUGGAAUUCCAGGUGUAGCGGUGAAAUGCGUAGAUAUCUGGAGGAACACCGGUGGCGAAGGCGGCAUUCUGGACCGAAACUGACGCUGAGGCGCGAAAGCCAGGGGAGCAAACGGGAUUAGAUACCCCGGUAGUCCUGGCCCUAAACGAUGAGUGCUUGGUGUGGCGGGUAUCGAU